RNAcentral lists this ribosomal RNA (459 nucleotides) under uncultured bacterium. RNAcentral describes it as "partial 16S ribosomal RNA". It matches the Rfam family "Bacterial small subunit ribosomal RNA", at positions 338 to 795 of the family's 1533-position model. The record is from RNAcentral.
CCUACGGGAGGCAGCAGUGAGGAAUAUUGGUCAAUGGUCGGGAGACUGAACCAGCCAAGCCGCGUGAGGGAGGAAGGUACAGAGUAUCGUAAACCUCUUUUGUCAGGGAACAAAGGCGGGGACGUGUCCCCGGAUGAGUGUACCUGAAGAAAAAGCAUCGGCUAACUCCGUGCCAGCAGCCGCGGUAAUACGGGGCAUGCGAGCGUUAUCCGGAUUUAUUGGGUUAAAGGGGUGCGAAGGCGGUCUGUUAAGUCAGCGGUAAAACCCCGGGGCUCAACCCCGGCCCGCCGUUGAAACUGGCAGUCUCGAGUUGGAGAGAAGUAUGCGGAAUGCGCGGUGUAGCGGUGAAAUGCAUAGAUAUCGCGCAGAACUCCGAUUGCGAAGGCAGCAUGCCGGCUCCACACUGACGCUGAGGCACGAAAGCGUGGGUAUCGAACAGGAUUAGAUACCCUUGUAGUC